CCUACGGGAGGCAGCAGUGAGGGAUAUUGGUCAAUGGGGGAAACCCUGAACCAGCGACGCCGCGUGGGUGAAGAAGGUCUUCGGAUCGUAAAGCCCUUUUCUGGGUGAAGAGACAGGACGGUAGCCCAGGAAGAAGUCUCGGCUAACUACGUGCCAGCAGCCGCGGUAAU
RNAcentral lists this ribosomal RNA (170 nucleotides) under uncultured Chloroflexota bacterium. Its description in RNAcentral is "uncultured Chloroflexi bacterium partial 16S ribosomal RNA". It matches the Rfam family "Bacterial small subunit ribosomal RNA", at positions 338 to 524 of the family's 1533-position model. Lineage: Bacteria; Bacillati; Chloroflexota. The record is from RNAcentral.